This 1575-nucleotide long non-coding RNA is filed under the name Canis lupus familiaris (dog). RNAcentral describes it as "lncRNA (ENSCAFG00000054596.1)". Lineage: Eukaryota; Metazoa; Chordata; Mammalia; Carnivora; Canidae. The record is from RNAcentral.
GCUCCUAGAGCAUAUAAAGACAUGAUAAUAUAGGAAUGCGGCUAGCAUUAACUUCAGACCCCAUCUCGUGCCCUAUAAAUACAGCUCUUCUGGGGAUGGUCAGCUGAAAGUCUCACCUCAGGGGAGGAUGCUCUGCCCAGGCUUCUCAGUCUCGACUUCAGCCUGGCUGUCUCCACUGGGCUUCUCCAGCUAAUAAGGUUGGAGGUUAAGUACUCAAUUUGAUGUAACUCUGUCUAUUCUCCUUUACUGCUGACUAUUGCUCUCAUCUAUGUGCAGAUUUCCCUUUUCUUCUUUCUGUUUUUAUUAGAUUUUUAUAAUAUCAAUAAGGUGUUAUAAUAUCGAUAAAGUGUUUUUCCCCCUUCAAAAGCAAGUGUACGGAUACUGUGAAUCUUUUGUUCAGAACAUAUAUCUCAAACAAAAAACAAAUUUAGAAGUGACUGAAUCAGAAUUUCUAAAUUUUGUUUUUAUGGAUCUAAAUUAUGUAUUACUCUGACAUUGCUUCAUUUAAUUUUCUUCAAGAUAUCUCCACUUUCAUGGCCCACAGUCAAAAAAAUAAUAAUAAUAAUGUGCAAACUUGACUUCAUUGCCUAUCCUUCAAAAUGAAUAAAUCUGUUCCUUUCUUGUAUCUCAUAUGAGGUGAAUACCCAUUGCCAUAGCUACAAAUCUAGAUGUUCUUUUUUUCUGACCUUCAUAUUCAACUCUUCUACCAAAUUCUAUUGAUUUUUUCUUAGUAGCUCCCUAGUCAAUUCCUUACAAAUCUAUCUUAAUUCAAGCCCAUAUCCUUAUUUGUAGAAAUCGCUAUAAUAUACUCUGAACUUGUUUUCUUUAUUUCCCCUGGUGUCCGAUCUAUUCAGACAAUGCUACAACAGUAGUCUACCUAAUAAUGAAAUCUGAGAGCAGCCCGGGUGGCUCAGCGGUUUAGCACCGCCUUCAGCCCAGAGUGUGAUCCUGGAGACCCCGAAUUGAGUCCCAUAUCGGGCACCUUGUAGGAGCUUGCUUCUCUCUCUCUGUCUCUCAUGAAUAAAUAAAUAAUGUCUUUUUAAAAAAUAAUGAAAUCUCCUUUCCUUCUGAUUAUGCCAUGAAGCUAGAUAAAACGUUUCAGGAUUCUCCAUAUUGCAUUGAAUUGGUAAUUCAUUUUUACUCACUUUGCCUCUCUAUUAGAAUGUGAACUAUUUGAAUGCAAACUAGAUCUUUGAACUCCUAGCCCAGGGUCCGAUACUAACAAAAUUAAAAAAAAAAAAUAUUUACUAAAACAAUUUGUUAAAUGAAAAGAGAAAUGAAUAUAACUUGUUUUGUGUAAAUAGUGUAGAAGUUGAAAGCAAAAAAAUUCUUGCUUAGAUUUUCACUACAUUUGAAUUCUUUUUGGUAAUAUCAGAUUAAAAUAAAAUUCAAAAUGAAGGGCUCAUAUAAAUGUGAAGUGAUUAUCUUAAAAUGAUGGGGGAUUAAAGAUUGAUUUCCUUAACUAAAUAUAUUUGUAAACUGGCUGAGAGCAUAUCAGUGGCUGAAGUUAUCCCCAAAUUGAAAAUCUUACUAUUAUUUAAAUUUUAAAAUCAGUAAUAAUGUUUAUUAACCAUU